This 428-nucleotide ribosomal RNA is filed under the name uncultured prokaryote. RNAcentral's name for it is "bacterial SSU rRNA". It matches the Rfam family "Bacterial small subunit ribosomal RNA", at positions 355 to 774 of the family's 1533-position model. The record is from RNAcentral.
UGGGGAAUUUUGCGCAAUGGGCGAAAGCCUGACGCAGCAACGCCGCGUGAGUGAUGAAGGCUUUCGGGUCGUAAAGCUCUGUCAAGGGGAAAGAAGUGUAUUAUGGUUAAUACCCAUGAUGCUUGACGGUACCCCUAAAGGAAGCACCGGCUAACUACGUGCCAGCAGCCGCGGUAAUACGGGGGGUGCAAGCGUUGUUCGGAAUUAUUGGGCGUAAAGCGCGUGUAGGCGGGUUGUUAAGUCUGAUGUGAAAGCCCCGGGCUCAACCUGGGAAGGUCAUUGGAAACUGGCAGACUUGAAUACGGGAGAGGGUAGUGGAAUUCCUGGUGUAGGAGUGAAAUCCGUAGAUAUCAGGAGGAACACCGGUGGCGAAGGCGGCUGCCUGGACCGAUAUUGACGCUGAGACGCGAAAGCGUGGGUAGCAAACA